UUAGAGUUUGAAUCCUGGCUCAGGACGAACGCUGGCGGCGUGCUUAACACAUGCAAGUCGAACGAUGACGGUGGUGCUUGCACCGCCUGAUUAGUGGCGAACGNGUGAGUAACACGUGAGUAACCUGCCCUCCACUUCGGGAUAACCUCGGGAAAUCGUGGCUAAUACCGGAUAUGAGCACUCAUCGCAUGGUGGGUGUUGGAAAGAUUUAUCGGUGGGGGAUGGACUCGCGGCCUAUCAGUUUGUUGGUGAGGUGAUGGCUCACCAAGACGAUGACGGGUAGCCGGCCUGAGAGGGCGACCGGCCACACUGGGACUGAGACACGGCCCAGACUCCUACGGGAGGCAGCAGUGGGGAAUAUUGCACAAUGGGCGAAAGCCUGAUGCAGCGACGCCGCGUGGGGGAUGACGGCCUUCGGGUUGUAAACCCCUUUCAGUAGGGAAGAAGCGAGAGUGACGGUACCUGCAGAAGAAGCGCCGGCUAACUACGUGCCAGCAGCCGCGGUAAUACGUAGGGCGCAAGCGUUGUCCGGAAUUAUUGGGCGUAAAGAGCUUGUAGGUGGCUUGUCGCGUCUGCCGUGAAAACCCGAGGCUCAACCUCGGGCGUGCGGUGGGUACGGGCAGGCUAGAGUGUGGUAGGGGAGACUGGAACUCCUGGUGUAGCGGUGAAAUGCGCAGAUAUCAGGAAGAACACCGAUGGCGAAGGCAGGUCUCUGGGCCAUUACUGACACUGAGAAGCGAAAGCAUGGAGCAACCAGA
This 758-nucleotide ribosomal RNA is filed under the name Brachybacterium paraconglomeratum. RNAcentral's name for it is "bacterial SSU rRNA". It matches the Rfam family "Bacterial small subunit ribosomal RNA", at positions 1 to 776 of the family's 1533-position model. Lineage: Bacteria; Bacillati; Actinomycetota; Actinomycetes; Micrococcales; Dermabacteraceae. The record is from RNAcentral.